Long non-coding RNA from Oreochromis niloticus (Nile tilapia), 2863 nucleotides. NCBI's taxonomy places the organism in Eukaryota, Metazoa, Chordata, Actinopteri, Cichliformes, Cichlidae. The record is from Ensembl.
AUGUCUGUAUCUUCCACCUUAUUCACUCCCAUAAUUCUUAGUUCCUCCAUUUCUCAUCACCUCCUAUUUUGUCCCGUCUUCUGUUAUUAUCUUAUUCCAUCUCAAAAUCCCUCCCUGUCUCCUCCUUCUCUUUCCUUUCUCCUCUCGCCUUCUCUCCUGAGUCAUCGCUCCUCCCUCUCUCUGUUCCCUCCCCCCCUCCUCCCUGUUAUCAGAGGAGUGUCUGCAUCCUGCCUCAGUGUGUGUUUGUGUGUGUGCUUGGCCUGUAGCAUGGCGUCUCUCGGCCUCCUGCUGCUCAGCACUGCUCUGAUCCACACCGCUCAGUCUCUACCUGCAGCUCGUGCUGGGGGUCAUGGCCUGGAUGUGUCAGUGGGUGGAGUCAGACGCCAGCGCAGAGACCUCCCUAACCUGCUGCCUUAUGAAGACCAGAUGAUGUCAUAUCCUGCCAUGCAGGGAGGAGGCAGGGCCAAUGACCUUUACUACCAAUCAGAUGACUGGAGGGGGAGGGGCUUGGACCAGGCACUGCAGCGAUUGGUGGAGAGAGACCAGAGGAAGGAGCAGGAGGAGGAGCAGCGAGCAGCCUACCUGGCAGCUCUGCUCCGCCUACUGAGCGAGGCAGAGAGCGCAGGACUGGUUGGUCCGGGUGACGUGGAAGUGGUCGAGGAGGAGGAGGAUGAGGAGGAUGACCAGGGCCCCACAGGGGACUUCCAGGGCCCUGCUCCUGCAGACUAUGAUGAGACUGGAAGGGGGAUGAGCAUGGGGAGGCCCCGGGCCGCCUGGUGGGGCCUCGUGGAGCCCCAGCUUGCUCAGGCCCUGCUUGACAGGAUGGAUCCCCGGCUCGCUCAGACGCUGCUGGAAAGAGCAAAACAGGAGAGACGUCAGCAGGCUGGACGAGUCGCAUCAGGACUGAGCCGAGACCAGGACACUCUGAGGCGGAUGGUUGCUGGGAUACUCUCCAGCAUCGGUCCUAACGGUGUCUCGGUCGCCUCCUCUGGUCGCAGAGCGAAGAGGGACCUGUCAGCCAAAGCACCUGAGCCUGUUAGCUCCGCCCACAGAAGAACCCGCCGUUCUCUUGACGACCUGGCUCCCCCUUCGCCUAGCAACGACCCUCCCCUCCUCAGGGUGAAGAGGCUGGAGGAUUACGAUGGAGAGGAGCAAGGUGAGAAGCUGCACCCCCAGGUGGUCGGGCUGCAGAGGAUGAAACGCAUCGACACUACGUCAACGGGCGACGCAGAGGAACUGAAUCAUGGGAGCCGUAGGCGCCGGAGGAGAGCUGCUCUGAACUACGACCCACAAAUAUUGGUUGAUCAGAUUCUGGAGUACAUGAGGGAGUGAGGAGUAGAGAAGAGAGUAUACGUUGUCAUUCAGGUUUUUAUUUGUGCAUCUUUUUCAUUUGUUCCUGCUGCUUUCGUGAAAAUUUAUCAGGUUGUUUGUUGUAAAAAUGAGGAGAAAUGGAAAACAGAUGGAAGAAGGAUAAAACGGUUCUGUUUGUGCAUCUCUCUAAAACACUACAUUUCCCAUGAGCCUCAGCAGGCAUUGUUCCAGCACAUUCAAUGAACCAAAAUCUAAAAAUGCACCUGAAUCAAAUUUGUGAAAAGAAACUUCUUUCUCAAGCUCUCUGAUUGGCUGAUAAUCUACUGCAAUGGUCUCUGGGGCUUGUAGUUAGACUCUUCAUUACUGUAAUGUGGCUACAUUGUUACAGGUUCGCCAUUAAAUCGAGCUUCCUUCUGUCAGAAAAGAUGGAGAGAUGGUGGAAAGUGGUGAUAACCUUGGCAAAAGCUCAUCAGCUGUGUGAUCAAUACGUUCUCGUUGUGUUCCUGUACUUCAGCUUGUGAUGAUUCGUCUGUCUGUGGUGAAAUUUGGAUUCAUGUCACACUCAGAAAUAAAGUCGGUAAAGUCGACCUUCACUGCCGCCUGCUGUCUGUUUGUGUCCCCACUAAAGACGAACGUAUCCUGUGGUUGUUGAAAGGGAGAACAGUGCAGGACCUGUCAUUUUUCUACUGGCCAGCAGGGGGAGACUCAUCUGCUUGCAAGAAACAGCCCGGUUGUGUAAAGGUCUAUGGGAAAAUUACCCUACAUCUUCAUUAAACUUUAACCUCACUAUACAUUCGUCUGGUGAGUUUAUAGUUUGAGCUGGCAGUUUCAAAUCUUAUUUGAUAACAUAUCUCGUUCAUUUAAUCAAUUAUGGGUCACAUUGGUGUGAACCAUAAUUGAUCACAGUCACAGUCUUCACACCCCAAAGUGCCCCAUGUUUAAGUUAAUAAAUAUGAAACAGUCAUUCUGACUUAACUGUUUAAAAUAUAUACAAAAGAGUUUAGCUAUAAUAUCAUUAAAAACAAACAGCACAUCUUUUUGAUUAUUCUGUUUCAGGUAAGUAAAUUAACUAGGUGCUAGGUUAAGUCUUUCCCAACUUUGUUCAUUAAACCUUUGGAGGUCAAAAUCACAUCAUUUUCAACUUCCCAUUUCUGGGAAAAGUCAAAUCCAGGGUACAGAAAUAACUCAUUCCACUUAACAGCUUUGUUACAUUUUAAUCAAACAUUUAAACAGAAAAACUUUUGAAUCAUUCCGAAAAACUGUUUUCUAAUUAAUAAAUCUCUGGUCUAUGAAAAUAAAAAAAUAAGUUAAACUGAAUCUAAUAAAGAUACAGCAUAAUCUCAUUAACAACAAAAACAUUUAAAACACAAAAGGGAACACAUUUAUUCAUGUACCUUACAGGUCAAAGGUCAUGCUGACAGCAAACACUAAUGCUCUCUAUCAGUUUUAUUUGUGUGGUUAGCUGAGCUUAGCACAAAGAAUCGCACUGCAUCUGAAAUCCCAUACUCAACCCUAACCUACUCCUGUACACACACUCAGUAUGUGUGUGUAU